CGACCCGAAGAGCGCCGAGCGCGAAAUCCGCCUGCGUGAUGGGAAACCUUUCAGGUAGUGACUCGCCAGAACCGUGGGGAUGCUGCCUCAGCCGCUCCGAGACAAAAGACCACGCCAGGAAUGCGCCGAGAUCGACAACGCCAGAGCCUUUUGCCCGUGCAGACCAAAAGAGUCGAUGGGCGAUGACCGAGUGGAACCGCGAGCAGCAGAGAGCCGCGCGAGCCAGCGAUUUGGCGUCCAACCAUUCCAUGAUGAGGAAUAGGCAAUCAUUGUCGAGGACUUGCAUCCGUGACGAGGCGCGCGCGCAGAGAUGGGAGACUAUAAGGCGGGAGGAGCGCAACGAGCGCGCUCGUCGCCGUGCGAUGGGGCGCAACAAUUCGUCCUCAGAGGCUAUCGCCCGUUAUUGGCCCGCCCUUUUUGUUUGGUUGGAGAACCAAACCAACGAACAUGCGCCCGCCAUUCCGACACGUCUAGAACAAGCAAAAAGGCAAAGAAAAAUGUUUGUAAAAAUGCCCUUUUUUCGAGCGCCCCCGUCGUCGUGAGUCGAUAGCCAUGGCCGAAUGCGACGGGCCGUGAGGAUGUGAUCCCCGUCGCGGGCUGGCUCGCUUUUUUUGUGCUGCUCGGCGCGGGUCCAAAUCUGCGAGGUUUUAAAUUGGCCGUGGCCCGUCUGACUGUGCCCGCCAGCGCAACAUCGGCGCGCCGUCGGCCUUUUGGAUUUUUUUGCCCUUUUCCCCCACCAACAAGGGGCCAAGCGCGCACCCAAGAAAAGAGAAAAAAAUAUGGGAAUAAAGGGCAACUUUAGGGACGUGAAAAAAUACAUGUUGG
This 825-nucleotide long non-coding RNA is filed under the name Pandoravirus dulcis. RNAcentral describes it as "putative ncRNA". The record is from RNAcentral.